UCGGCCCCGGUUCACGGGGGGGCAAUCCCGCCCCUCGACCCGGUGCC
Streptomyces sp. is the source of this 47-nucleotide regulatory RNA element. It matches the Rfam family "L31-Actinobacteria ribosomal protein leader". The record is from Rfam. Lineage: Bacteria; Bacillati; Actinomycetota; Actinomycetes; Kitasatosporales; Streptomycetaceae.